ACCCCCUGGCAGUGGGCAAGGAGGCAUCUGAUUGGUGGUGUUGCUCUUAUAUCAAUCAGGGGCAAAACAGAUGUACAGUCCUUAGUACAUCCUAGCUUAAUGCCUGUGUCGGUGGCCAGAGCUGUUUCAUGCCUUAGGCACAUAA
Non-coding RNA from Myotis lucifugus (little brown bat), 145 nucleotides. The record is from Rfam. NCBI's taxonomy places the organism in Eukaryota, Metazoa, Chordata, Mammalia, Chiroptera, Vespertilionidae.